This is a long non-coding RNA of Papaver somniferum (opium poppy), 1988 nucleotides long. RefSeq lists it as uncharacterized. The record is from RefSeq and is a predicted model, not a curated record. The transcript has 3 exons. NCBI's taxonomy places the organism in Eukaryota, Viridiplantae, Streptophyta, Magnoliopsida, Ranunculales, Papaveraceae.
CUACUACUGAUUUGGGGAUAUUUUGUGCACAAUUGAUUUGUUAAUAUUCUGCAUAUUUUCUGCACGAUGGCUUUGUACAUUAUUGCUGUGUUGAUGAAUUAAGAUGGUGAUACAGAUUGAGUUGAUGAUGGAGGCCGUGUUUUCUAUGAUGAGGAAGUUUGAUGUUGAAUGGGUUUGUUUUGUGUAAUUGAAAUUGCAAGGAAUUGGAGAGUUGUUGAAGAUUUCCUCUAUGCACAAUAGCACCACCAGAUCGUGCAAAUCAAUUGUUUGACAAAUUGCUUGAAUGAAUAUGUUGUCCCUGUUGCUGCACCAGAGGGGAUACUGCGAGCUGGUUAUGAUGGGUUUACUUGGAGUUUCAAAGGGUUUGCAAAGGAGUUUAAUUAGAAAACAAGGAGGGUUUUUGUUGAUUGUAUUCAAAGUAGUGGAUAUCGAGAAGGCAGACUGAAAUGGAUGGGAUAUGGAGAAGCCAGGAAGGUAGAUCUAUGCUACUGGUGCAGCUGUCUUCCCCCAAAUUUGGACUUGAUAAAUGAUUUUGGAGGAGUUAUAAAUUGGAGGAUGUUUUAAAUUGGUCAAAUUUAACAGAGUAGGUUGAGGAUGACUACAAUUUGUGGCAGUAAGAGUCCAUCAUCGUGCUCAAGAAUAGGUGUAACAUGAAGGUUUUGGAAGUGAUAAAUGAUUUUGGAGGAGUUAUAAAUUGGAGGAUGUUUGAAAUUGGUCAAAUUUAACAGAGUAGGUUGAGGAUGACUACAAUUUGUGGCAGUAAGAGUCCAUCAUCGUGCUCAGGAAUAGGUGUAACAUGAAGGCUUUGGAAGUGAAUGAUAAGCAGGUGAGAGCACAGUUGCAAUUUCAGAAGAUCCAUUUUGUUGGCCUUCCAAUCGGAUAGGAAUAUCAUCAUCCUCAAGAAACUAAUCGGCAACUCUUAUUGUCCAUUUGCAGUUCUUAUUGGUUUCCUUAUUUAAUUAAUUAGGCGUACAAAAACCUUAUACAGGAUAGUUAUUAUCAACUAAAAUGCUUGCCUACAAAUAUUAUUAUACAGCUUAUACGUGUGCAAUGAUUAUUAUUUUUCUUAACAAACUUAUCAUUGCCUUUGGUACGAUUUUUACAUUUAGGUUCUGCAUAGGUGGCAUGUCCUUGGAAGUUAAAUCCCCUCACAAGAGAUCGAUAUACCGGAGACUGGUAAUGGAAAUGAUAUUGGUAUAUGAAGUACCAGAAUCAAUAGAGAAUUAGGGAGAUGAUAUCAUGGAGUGGAACUACUCCUAAUGAAGGAUCAUAUCAAAUAUGUUUUCCACUACAGCUAUGUCUACGAAGAGUUUUGUAUGGGAUGGUUCAUAUGAGAAAACUUUACACGCAUAUUUAAGAUGUCGAAUUUAGGUUGUUGAUGUUGUUAUGAGUUCUAUGUCAUCUUCAAGUUACUGACUCUGGUUGCUUAAUAUUAGAUGGCAGCAUGACUCUCUCUAUGACCAGUGAUCUUAAUGAAACUUUUUGCAUUCUGGAGGUACCACCUAUGCAAAGGAAGAAGGCAGAUGUCAGGAAAAGGGAAAGGGAAUAGCAGCACACCAUUACAGAUGUCAUUGAAAUGUGCAUGAACUGUGACCUUGCGAGGGAAUUAAACAACAGGCUUGUGUAAAAGUUGGUAGACACCAUUUCAGUUGAGACCAUUUUUCUCAUGGCCGCUUAAACAACAGGCUUGCUGGCCAUCUUCCUCAUUGAGUUUGCAGAGAUAUAUCUCAAGAUCUUCAGAGGGAUGCAAAAUCUGGAGAACAAAAGGAAAAGACAUACUGUGGAAAUAAACGUAUUAAGAUUGAACCAUUAAUUAAGAACCACAGGUUCACGGCAAAUUUGGAGCAAGGAUUGUACCAUCAUCAAGCUUAUAAAGAUUUUUCUGUAAUUUAUUGUAUUUGUGAGAAAUAAUGUGAGGCCUACUUAAUCAACUAAUAGCAACUCCAAAGUUGCAUUCAUGUAAAACCAUCACUUGCCAUGAGGAUAAC